This is a long non-coding RNA of Salvelinus sp. IW2-2015, 588 nucleotides long. RefSeq lists it as uncharacterized. The record is from RefSeq and is a predicted model, not a curated record. Lineage: Eukaryota; Metazoa; Chordata; Actinopteri; Salmoniformes; Salmonidae.
CCAACAGAACUACACAGAAGAAAGGUUGAAUGCACAGAUACAGGAGAUUCUUGACAAUGAGGAGGCAAAGGACGCUUUCCGUGUUGCUUCUGUUGAUGAUGGGUAUGGUGACCACUGCGGUUCCUGCAACUACUGCUGAUGCAGCCAUCACUUCAACGGUUGGCCAUUCAUCAGCCACUGUGUGUGCAUUCUCCACUCAACAACAAAAUAGUGGGAGGUGAAAAUGCCCCUGCAGGAAGUUGGCCCUGGCAGGCAAGUCUCAAAAUUCUGACGGCAUGUUUGCGGUGGGUCCCUCGUCAACAAGGUGUGGGUGAUGUCUGCAGCCCACUGCUUCAGCAGCUCAGACCCAAAUGGUUGGAACAUUAGCCUUGGUCGUCAGACCCUGGAGGGAAUUAACCCCAACGAAGUGUCCAGAACUGUGGCUGAGAUCUUAUACAUCCAGAUUACAACGAGUUCACAAAGGACAACGACAUGCUCGCUCAACUCUCCUCCCGGUCAACUUCACAAACUACAUCCGACCCGUCUGUCUGGCAGCAAAUGAUAGUGUUUUCAACAAUGGUCUGAUAGCUGGGUGACCGGCUGGGGUAA